Pygocentrus nattereri (red-bellied piranha) is the source of this 873-nucleotide long non-coding RNA. RefSeq lists it as uncharacterized. NCBI's taxonomy places the organism in Eukaryota, Metazoa, Chordata, Actinopteri, Characiformes, Serrasalmidae. The record is from RefSeq and is a predicted model, not a curated record. The transcript has 3 exons.
AGCCAUUUUUGGCAGCAGGUUGCAGGUCGCUGACGGUGAAAGAAAAUGGAUAUACGGCGUUUUUUCAAGGAGAAAGAUCCAGACUCUUCUCAUUUUAAAGGAAGGUAAAGGAGCAUGGUGGCCUGCUGGAGGAAAUUACACGCAGAGAUUUCAGAAUUGGGAUAAGGGAUGGUGACAGAAAAAGGCAUUUUCUACUUUUAUACACAUUGCCUCUGACAGAGAAUAAGAAGUCGGGGGAAGAUACGGCUGUAAUAAAGGGCUUAUCCGAGGAGAGGAGGUCAGAAUGGAAAAAGGAUUAAGACUGCUUCCAGCUCACUGGCCCUUCACACAGCAGUCACUCAUCAAACAAAGAUUCUCUCCCUCCGUUUUUCUCUCUGUUAUCGACACAGAUUGAGAGAGAUCCAAAUAUUGUGCACCAUGUUAGUAUUCCUUCCUUGUUUCACUGAUGCCAGCCACUUUUUGGAUAAACAACUGGUGAUGUUACCUGUAAGUCCAGCCCAGAAGAACUUAAAUAUGGAAACAACAGGAGCAACAGGAAAAGCUCAGUUCUUUCUAACAUCAUAAUGCCCCAUCAUUAUUGCAGCUUCCCUGAAGCAAACAAGUUUGCAUUGAGUGAUGGCUUUCAUAAAUGAAUGAGAAAACAAGUAUCAUCAUCCUCUGACACAUUUUCUAAUUGCAGUUCAUUUGAAAAGCUUUUGAGAGAGCUCAUUUCAGCUCCUCCAUCAAGAAUAUUGCUCACUCUUGACAGAGCAUAGUUAAGUAGCUGUUGAUAAAUGUACGUAUGUGAGGUGAAUGCUGAACAACUACUGUCCACCCUGACUCCUCUGUAAUGCACUGAUACACUGCCUGGCCAUUGGUUUGGGUUAAAUAAAA